This is a small nucleolar RNA of Tachyglossus aculeatus (Australian echidna), 138 nucleotides long. NCBI's taxonomy places the organism in Eukaryota, Metazoa, Chordata, Mammalia, Monotremata, Tachyglossidae. The record is from RefSeq and is a predicted model, not a curated record.
GGCCUCUCAGGGUAGCACCUAGAGAGUUUCCAGUACUCUACCAGUCUCAGCUACGGGAGGGAGAGUCAAACAGAAGUCUACCCUUUCCACUCCUAGCUUGGGCAGUGGCUAGCGAGUGGAAGGCAAUCUGCUACAAGU